RNAcentral lists this non-coding RNA (207 nucleotides) under Acetobacteraceae bacterium AT-5844. RNAcentral also lists the same sequence under 1 other name. The record is from RNAcentral. Lineage: Bacteria; Pseudomonadati; Pseudomonadota; Alphaproteobacteria; Acetobacterales; Acetobacteraceae.
AUCUACCCAACCAGAGCCGGUUUCCGAGAGGAACUAAUAGGGAAUUCGCCAUGGUUCUCCUCCCUGAGGAGCACCAUGAACCGAAACUGCCCCCGCAACUGUAGGCGGCGAGCCAGCGUCCGGAGAUGCCACUGGGAGCGAUCCCGGGAAGGUCGGCGCAGGCGAUGACCCGCCAGUCAGGAGACCUGCCGGCAUGUGUCGUGAAAC